CCCUCCACUAUAACGAAUACUACAACAAAAACCAGUAGCGUCGGUAAUUGCGCGUGUAGACUGCAGAUGGGGUAUAGCAGAGCGCCUUGGUGGUGAAUGCGCACACCGGUUGUGUGAUAGCGUUAGUUGUAGUGGAUGGAGAUUUGUCGGCUGAAAUACGGGUCGGAUAAAAUACUGUCAGCUUAAAUACGGUUCGUAUAAAACAUGUUUCG
Cinara cedri is the source of this 212-nucleotide non-coding RNA. Lineage: Eukaryota; Metazoa; Arthropoda; Insecta; Hemiptera; Aphididae. The record is from the annotation of a GenBank genome assembly.